Petromyzon marinus (sea lamprey) is the source of this 1138-nucleotide non-coding RNA. NCBI's taxonomy places the organism in Eukaryota, Metazoa, Chordata, Hyperoartia, Petromyzontiformes, Petromyzontidae. The record is from RefSeq and is a predicted model, not a curated record.
UUUGAUGCCAGUAUAAAAUAAUGAAAAGAUAAGAAUAGGCUUUAUACCCUUUUUGGAAAUAAAGCAGGAGUUGUGUUAAGAUGUUCAAACACCAAAUAGAUAUUUAUUGUGCAGCAUCAUGUACGGCAUUAACCACACACAGUACUUGUGGUAAACAUGCAAACGAAUGUGCUGUAAUAAUGUAUUGUAAUAUAUCAAAGCCUGUUAUUUUAUUGUUUCCCUUCUACGUGACUUUACCGAAAGAACCAAGAAUAUGAAUCCCUGCAGUCACGAAAGCUUUAAAUCAAAACUUAAUACAUUUGUCACAACACCGCGAUGGCUAAAACCCGAGAGAGGGAAUGGCUUUGCUGUACUUGUACAUAAUCCUCUUAUUUUUACAUUUUGGGACGUGCUUUGCCAAAUACGACAACAAAAACGUUAGAUUUAAUUACGUACACAUGCAAAGUAUAUGUCGUUUAUACUUAACUGCAGAUUUCAUUUUUCUUCUCUCCAAUUACGUCUCCAUUGCAGAUGGUGUUCGUUCUUUGGCCAGAACCUGUGCAACAAAAGCACAGUGCGAUGCGACCGACUUCAAGGACCAGAUGAAACAGUACAUCCUCGGAAAACUGCCAACGUUCGCUGGCACGGUCGAUGGCACCUCCUGCUGCCAGGAAAGUUAUUGCAACCACGUUACUCAAUACUGUUAUUAUGGAAGUGUCGGUUUGGGAGUUGAUGAAAAGGACAAGCUCUGCCCUUCUGGACAAGAUUCAUGUGUUACUGCACUGCUGAUGCAGGGCGACCGAAUGUUCAAGGGCAAAAUUUGCGCCAACCAGGCACAAUGUAACGCACCCGACUUUAAGACGCAGAUCAGACAAUCCAUCGUGGGCAUGAAGCCCUCGUUCACGGGCAUCGUCAAGUACUACAGCUGCUGCCAGUCAAAAAACUGCAAUUACGGUAAGUUGGGAUUUCGAAUUAUGGAUUUCCACUCUCACCCCCCCCCCCCUCCUUUAUUUCGUGGGUUACCUGCUGUCAAACCUUAUCGACAAAUGUUAAACUAGGACUCAUCUCUCUCUUAUUUUGUGGUUACGUACUGUCAAAACCUUACUGACAAAAGGAAAACUAAACUAAUCCUCAUCAAGCGACAGGCAAAAUUGGCCGC